CCUACUCAUGCUAGUCGAGCGGACAGAUGGGAGCUUGCUCCCUGAUGUUAGCGGCGGACGGGUGAGUAACACGUGGGUAACCUGCCUGUAAGACUGGGAUAACUCCGGGAAACCGGGGCUAAUACCGGAUGGUUGUCUGAACCGCAUGGUUCAGACAUAAAAGGUGGCUUCGGCUACCACUUACAGAUGGACCCGCGGCGCAUUAGCUAGUUGGUGAGGUAACGGCUCACCAAGGCGACGAUGCGUAGCCGACCUGAGAGGGUGAUCGGCCACACUGGGACUGAGACACGGCCCAGACUCCUACGGGAGGCAGCAGUAGGGAAUCUUCCGCAAUGGACGAAAGUCUGACGGAACAACGCCGCGUGAGUGAUGAAGGUUUUCGGAUCGUAAAGCUUUGUUGUUAGGGAAGAACAAGUGCCGAUCACAUGUGGCGGUGCCUCGGCCGCACCUAACUAAAUCGUCGC
Molecule: ribosomal RNA, 464 nt
Filed under: Bacillus amyloliquefaciens
Lineage: Bacteria; Bacillati; Bacillota; Bacilli; Caryophanales; Bacillaceae
Also listed under: 1 other name
Description: bacterial SSU rRNA
Rfam family: Bacterial small subunit ribosomal RNA
Source: RNAcentral